UACGUAGGGGGCAAGCGUUGUCCGGAUUUAUUGGGCGUAAAGAGCGUGUAGGCGGCUAGAUAGGUCCGCUGUGAAAACUUGAGGCUCAACCUCAAGAGGUCGGUGGAAACCAUCUGGCUAGAGUCCGGAAGAGGAGAGUGGAAUUCCUGGUGUAGCGGUGAAAUGCGCAGAUAUCAGGAAGAACACCCGUGGCGAAGGCGGCUCUCUGGGACGGUACUGACGCUGAGACGCGAAAGCGUGGGGAGCGAACAGG
Molecule: ribosomal RNA, 253 nt
Filed under: uncultured bacterium
Lineage: Bacteria
Description: partial 16S ribosomal RNA
Rfam family: Bacterial small subunit ribosomal RNA
Source: RNAcentral